AACGAACGCUGGCGGCAUGCCUAAUACAUGCAAGUCGAACGAGAUCUUCGGAUCUAGUGGCGCACGGGUGCGUAACGCGUGGGAAUCUGCCCUUGGGUUCGGAAUAACUUCUGGAAACGGAAGCUAAUACCGGAUGAUGACGUAAGUCCAAAGAUUUAUCGCCCAAGGAUGAGCCCGCGUAGGAUUAGCUAGUUGGUGGGGUAAAGGCCCACCAAGGCGACGAUCCUUAGCUGGUCUGAGAGGAUGAUCAGCCACACUGGGACUGAGACACGGCCCAGACUCCUACGGGAGGCAGCAGUAGGGAAUAUUGGACAAUGGGGGAAACCCUGAUCCAGCAAUGCCGCGUGAGUGAUGAAGGCCUUAGGGUUGUAAAGCUCUUUUACCCGGGAUGAUAAUGACAGUACCGGGAGAAUAAGCUCCGGCUAACUCCGUGCCAGCCGCCGCCGUAA
Molecule: ribosomal RNA, 449 nt
Filed under: uncultured bacterium
Lineage: Bacteria
Description: partial 16S ribosomal RNA
Rfam family: Bacterial small subunit ribosomal RNA
Source: RNAcentral